Molecule: ribosomal RNA, 253 nt
Filed under: uncultured bacterium
Lineage: Bacteria
Description: partial 16S ribosomal RNA
Rfam family: Bacterial small subunit ribosomal RNA
Source: RNAcentral
UACAGAGGGUGCGAGCGUUAAUCGGAGUUACUGGGCGUAAAGGGUGCGUAGGCGGUAUGAUGUGUGUGAUGUGAAAGCCCCGGGCUUAACCUGGGAAGUGCAUCGCAAACUAUCAAACUAGAGUAUAUGAGAGGGUGGCGGAAUUUCCGGUGUAGCGGUGAAAUGCGUAGAGAUCGGAAGGAACGUCAAUGGCGAAGGCAGCCACCUGGCAUAAUACUGACGCUGAGGCACGAAAGCGUGGGGAGCGAACAGG